This 845-nucleotide ribosomal RNA is filed under the name uncultured bacterium. RNAcentral describes it as "bacterial SSU rRNA". It matches the Rfam family "Bacterial small subunit ribosomal RNA", at positions 58 to 916 of the family's 1533-position model. The record is from RNAcentral.
CAAGUCGUACGAGAAUCGUAGCAUUACGAGGAAAGUGGCGAAAGGGAGAGGAUUACGUGGGAAUCUACCCUCAGACCUGGGAUAGCGGCGGGAAACUGCCGGUAAUACCAGAUAAUGUCUUUGGACCAAAGGUGUGAUUCCGUCUGGGGAUGAGCCCACGUCCUAUUAGCUUGUUGGUGGGGUAAUGGCCUACCAAGGCAAUGAUGGGUAGCGGGUGUGAGAGCACGACCCGCCUCACUGGGACUGAGAUACUGCCCAGGCACCUACGGGUGGCUGCAGUCGAGAAUCUUCGGCAAUGGGCGAAAGCCUGACCGAGCGACGCCGCGUGCGGGAUUGAAGGCCUUCGGGUUGUAAACCGCUGUCGUAGGGGAGCAAGAGAAGAGGGUUCUCCCUCUAAUUUGAGCGAUCCUAGGAGGAAGGACGGGCUAAGUUCGUGCCAGCAGCCGCGGUAAGACGAACCGUCCGAACGUUAUUCGGUAUCACUGGGCUUAAAGAGUUCGUAGGCGGCUCCGUAGGUGAGGUGUGAAAUCCCUCGGCUUAACCGAGGAAUUGCGCUUCAAACCGUGGAGCUAGAGGAAGAUAGGGGUGAGCGGAACAGAUGGUGGAGCGGUGAAAUGCGUUGAUAUCAUCUGGAACACCGGUGGCGAAAGCGGCUCGCUGGAUCUUUUCUGACGCUGAGGAACGAAAGCUAGGGGAGCGAACGGGAUUAGAUACCCCGGUAGUCCUAGCCGUAAACGAUGAGCACUAGUCUGUGGGGACCCUCACAUCCUCUCGGACGUAGCGAAAGUGUUAAGUGCUCCGCCUGGGGAGUAUGGUCGCAAGGCUGAAACUCAAGGAAUUGACGG